GGGCCGGUAGAGUGGCCGCGUCGUCAUCACACCCGUACGGGGGGAAGCCGGUGCAAAUCCGGCGCUGACCCGCAACCGUGAGCAGCGCGCAGGCGCUGCGAGCCGGACUACCCCGCGCGGUACGUGAACGGCUC
This 134-nucleotide non-coding RNA is filed under the name Streptomyces sp. The record is from RNAcentral. Lineage: Bacteria; Bacillati; Actinomycetota; Actinomycetes; Kitasatosporales; Streptomycetaceae.